Molecule: ribosomal RNA, 293 nt
Filed under: uncultured bacterium
Lineage: Bacteria
Description: partial 16S ribosomal RNA
Rfam family: Bacterial small subunit ribosomal RNA
Source: RNAcentral
GGAUUAGAUACCCUGGUAGUCCACGCCGUAAACGAUGAGAACUAGCCGUCGGGGCCCUUGAGGCCUUGGUGGCGCAGCUAACGCGAUAAGUUCUCCGCCUGGGGAGUACGGCCGCAAGGUUAAAACUCAAAUGAAUUGACGGGGGCCCGCACAAGCGGUGGAGCAUGUUGUUUAAUUCGAUGCAACGCGAAGAACCUUACCACCCCUUGACAUACUCGGAAUUUUCCAGAGAUGGAUUAGUGCCUUCGGGAACCGAGAUACAGGUGCUGCAUGGCUGUCGUCAGCUCGUGCCG